Molecule: ribosomal RNA, 429 nt
Filed under: Chloroflexota bacterium
Lineage: Bacteria; Bacillati; Chloroflexota
Description: Chloroflexi bacterium partial 16S ribosomal RNA
Rfam family: Bacterial small subunit ribosomal RNA
Source: RNAcentral
UGGGGAAUAUUGCACAAUGGGCGCAAGCCUGAUGCAGCCAUGCCGCGUGUAUGAAGAAGGCCUUCGGGUUGUAAAGUACUUUCAGUCGGGAGGAAGGUGGUAAGGUUAAUAACCUUGGCAAUUGACGUUACCGACAGAAGAAGCACCGGCUAACUCCGUGCCAGCAGCCGCGGUAAUACGGAGGGUGCAAGCGUUAAUCGGAAUUACUGGGCGUAAAGCGCACGCAGGCGGUUGAUUGAGUCAGAUGUGAAAUCCCCGGGCUUAACCCGGGAAUUGCAUCUGAUACUGGGAAGCUAGAGGCUUGUAGAGGGGGGUAGAAUUCCAUGUGUAGCGGUGAAAUGCGUAGAGAUGUGGAGGAAUACCGGUGGCGAAGGCGGCCCCCUGGACAAAGACUGACGCUCAGGUGCGAAAGCGUGGGGAGCAAACAGG